RNAcentral lists this ribosomal RNA (465 nucleotides) under Vreelandella stevensii. RNAcentral's name for it is "partial 16S ribosomal RNA". It matches the Rfam family "Bacterial small subunit ribosomal RNA", at positions 338 to 795 of the family's 1533-position model. The record is from RNAcentral. Lineage: Bacteria; Pseudomonadati; Pseudomonadota; Gammaproteobacteria; Oceanospirillales; Halomonadaceae.
CCUACGGGCGGCUGCAGUGGGGAAUAUUGGACAAUGGGCGAAAGCCUGAUCCAGCCAUGCCGCGUGUGUGAAGAAGGCCUUCGGGUUGUAAAGCACUUUCAGUGGGGAAGAAAGCCUUGGGGCUAAUACCCUCGAGGAAGGACAUCACCCACAGAAGAAGCACCGGCUAACUCCGUGCCAGCAGCCGCGGUAAUACGGAGGGUGCGAGCGUUAAUCGGAAUUACUGGGCGUAAAGCGCGCGUAGGCGGUCUGAUAAGCCGGUUGUGAAAGCCCCGGGCUCAACCUGGGAACGGCAUCCGGAACUGUCAGGCUAGAGUGCAGGAGAGGAAGGUAGAAUUCCCGGUGUAGCGGUGAAAUGCGUAGAGAUCGGGAGGAAUACCAGUGGCGAAGGCGGCCUUCUGGACUGACACUGACGCUGAGGUGCGAAAGCGUGGGUAGCAAACAGGAUUAGAUACCCGAGUAGAC